RNAcentral lists this transfer RNA (77 nucleotides) under Candidatus Saccharimonadota bacterium. RNAcentral's name for it is "tRNA-Arg". It matches the Rfam family "tRNA". Rfam says of the family: Transfer RNA (tRNA) molecules are approximately 80 nucleotides in length. RNAcentral also lists the same sequence under 1 other name. Lineage: Bacteria; Candidatus Saccharimonadota. The record is from RNAcentral.
GCCCCGGUAGCUCAGCGGAUUAGAGCAGCGGGCUUCUAUCCCGCGUGUCGCAGGUUCGAUUCCUGCCCGGGGUACCA